Molecule: small RNA, 50 nt
Filed under: Arabidopsis thaliana (thale cress)
Lineage: Eukaryota; Viridiplantae; Streptophyta; Magnoliopsida; Brassicales; Brassicaceae
Description: ATSL260840
Source: RNAcentral
AGAAACUAAUUAAAACUCAUAUUUGUUCCACCACCUGUCAAUACACACUU